RNAcentral lists this ribosomal RNA (253 nucleotides) under uncultured bacterium. RNAcentral's name for it is "partial 16S ribosomal RNA". It matches the Rfam family "Bacterial small subunit ribosomal RNA", at positions 524 to 776 of the family's 1533-position model. The record is from RNAcentral.
UACGGAGGAUCCAAGCGUUAUCCGGAAUCAUUGGGUUUAAAGGGUCCGUAGGCGGUUUACUAAGUCAGUGGUGAAAGCCCAUCGCUUAACGAUGGAACGGCCAUUGAUACUGUUAGACUUGAAUUAUUGGGAAGUAACUAGAAUAUGUAGUAUAGCGGUGAAAUGCUUAGAUAUUACAUGGAAUACCAAUUGCGAAGGCAGGUUACUAUCAAUAUAUUGACGCUGAUGGACGAAAGCGUGGGGAGCGAACAGG